RNAcentral lists this ribosomal RNA (558 nucleotides) under uncultured bacterium. Its description in RNAcentral is "partial 16S ribosomal RNA". It matches the Rfam family "Bacterial small subunit ribosomal RNA", at positions 355 to 902 of the family's 1533-position model. The record is from RNAcentral.
UGGGGAAUAUUGCACAAUGGGCGCAAGCCUGAUGCAGCCAUGCCGCGUGUGUGAAGAAGGCCUUCGGGUUGUAAAGCACUUUCAGCGAGGAGGAAGGUGGUGAGCUUAAUACGCUCAUCAAUUGACGUUACUCGCAGAAGAAGCACCGGCUAACUCCGUGCCAGCAGCCGCGGUAAUACGGAGGGUGCAAGCGUUAAUCGGAAUUACUGGGCGUAAAGCGCACGCAGGCGGUUUGUUAAGUCAGAUGUGAAAUCCCCGGGCUCAACCUGGGAACUGCAUUUGAAACUGGCAAGCUAGAGUCUCGUAGAGGGGGGUAGAAUUCCAGGUGUAGCGGUGAAAUGCGUAGAGAUCUGGAGGAAUACCGGUGGCGAAGGCGGCCCCCUGGACGAAGACUGGCGCUCAGGUGCGAAAGCGUGGGGAGCAAAACAGGAUUAGAUACCCUGGUAGUCCACGCUGUAAAACGAUGUCGAUUUUGGAGGUUGUGCCCUUGAGGCGUGGCUUCCGGAGCUAACGCGUUAAAUCGACCGCCUGGGGAGUACGGCCGCAAGGUUAAAACUC